RNAcentral lists this unclassified non-coding RNA (1608 nucleotides) under uncultured fungus. RNAcentral describes it as "sequence contains 18S rRNA gene, ITS1, 5.8S rRNA gene, ITS2, 28S rRNA gene". The stretch from base 572 to 1608 matches the Rfam family "Eukaryotic large subunit ribosomal RNA", at positions 1 to 961 of the family's 3401-position model. The record is from RNAcentral. Lineage: Eukaryota; Fungi.
GGAAGGAUCAUUACAAAAAAAACAACAACAAAAUAUUUUUCAAAAAAUAUUGAAAAUGAACACGCAAAAACACACUUAAAAUACAAAUCGUUUUUUUUGUUAAACAAAAAAUUUACACAAACUCUAUGCAACGGAUGACUUGGUUUCAUGUUGGUUGAAGAGCGCAGCAAAGUGCGAUUAAUUGAUGUGAAAUGCAAAACUUAUGAAUCAUCAAAAUCUUGAACGCAAAUGGCGAGUUUCUGAAAGGAACUCAAGAAAAAAAGAGAGGGGAUAAAAAAACAAACUUCAAUGAGACAUCUUCGUGCUUUGCGCGCGCAAGGGUCUUGAAAUGCAGUAAGAACUUGGGCUUGAGGCCAGCUUAAAAAAAAAAAAGAGCACGCACACAAAAAAAAACGCACUUUAAACGGUGCGCGAGUGUGGCGCGCGGUUCUUUUUUUUUUUGCGACUUCUGGACGCUCUCGGGAGAAAAAGAUAAAAGAUUCUUUACGGAUUUUUCCCAUUCUCCCGAAGCGGCCUUGGUCGCGAGAUUUUUUCGCUGCUCACACAAUGAAAAGAGUCUCCUUUAAACUCUCCCCCUCUUUCUUUUCUUCAUUACCCGCUGAAUUUAAGCAUAUUAUUAAGCGGAGGAAAAGAAAAUAAACAUGAUACCUCCAGUAGUGGCGAACGAAGAAGGUACAGAUCAAAGGAAAGGGUCUGGCGACAACACAGACGUCAGACCGAUGCUCCUUUCGAGGAAGUGGCAAGGUGGGGCCGAGGGAACCGAAAGUCAGUUGGAAAGCUGCAGCACAGAGGGUGAAACUCCCUUGUCGGUACUCGAUUCACGGCCUCCAAAUCUCUGCUUCCUUUAGAGUCACGUUGAUUGUGAUUUCAGCGUAAAGCAGGAGGUAAAUUUCUCCUAAAUCUAAAUAUGACAUGAAGACCGAUAGCGGAAAAGUACUGCGAAGGAAAGUUGAAAAGAAUGCCGAAAGGCAAGUUAAAAGAACCUGAAAUUGCAUAGAGGGAACCGAAUGGGAGGAGGAGGAGCGCUGCUGUGGUUCACUGCAGUGGCGCGAAAAAGGGCGACGUGUGCGAGAGAAGAAAGGGCUUCACAGGGGGCCACAUACAGUGGCUUGCGCUCUGGGGGUUUCGGAACUGCUCGCGUGCGUCGAGGAAAAAAGGCCUCCAUCGGUGCUCUGGGCGCGCUGCGGUGGCGGAAGUUGCGGGACAAUUGCAUUGUCUCGUGAUUAUUCGCUGUUGCAGACGUGUCCAUCAAUCACUGGGGCUAGCUCUUUUAAAAUUCUCCUCUCUUCAUCCGUCUUGAACACGGAUCAAGGAGUCUUGCAGUAUGAAGAGUAUUUUGGUGUCAGACCAUGAUGCGUAAUGAAAGUAAAUCGGGGGUAGAGGGCGCCGCGAAACGGCACCUGCAUUCCGGCGGGAAUUUGAUUUUUUUGAAGAUUCUCAGCAAAAUUCGUACUGUUAGUACCCGAAAGAUGAUGAGCUAUGCCAGAAUCGGGUGAAGCCUCAUGAAAAUGAGGUGGAGGUCCGACAUCGUGCUGACGUGCAAAUCGCUGGUUGAAUUUUGGUAUAGGGGCGAAAUACUUAUCGAAUCAUUUAGUUGCUGGUUUCUUU